GACGAACGCUGGCGGCGUGCUUAACACAUGCAAGUCGAACGGAAAGGCCCUGCUUUUGUGGGGUGCUCGAGUGGCGAACGGGUGAGUAACACGUGAGUAACCUGCCCUUGACUUUGGGAUAACUUCAGGAAACUGGGGCUAAUACCGGAUAGGAGCUCCUGCUGCAUGGUGGGGGUUGGAACGUUUCGGCGGUUGGGGAUGGACUCGCGGCUUAUCAGCUUGUUGGUGGGGUAGUGGCUUACCAAGGCUUUGACGGGUAGCCGGCCUGAGAGGGUGACCGGCGACAUUGGGACUGAGAGACGGCGCAGACUCCUACGGGAGGCAGCAGUGGGGAGUAUGGCACAAUGGGCGGAAGCCUGAUGAAGCAACGCCGCGUGCGGGAUGACGGCCUUCGGGUUGUAAACCGCUUUCGCCUGUGACGAAGCGUGAGUGACGGUAAUGGGUAAAGAAGCACCGGCUAACUACGUG
This 468-nucleotide ribosomal RNA is filed under the name uncultured bacterium. RNAcentral's name for it is "partial 16S ribosomal RNA". It matches the Rfam family "Bacterial small subunit ribosomal RNA", at positions 28 to 507 of the family's 1533-position model. The record is from RNAcentral.